GAUGAACGCUGGCGGCGUGCUUAACACAUGCAAGUCGAACGGAAAGGCCUCAGCUUGCUGGGGUACUCGAGUGGCGAACGGGUGAGUAACACGUGGGUGAUCUGCCCUGCACUUUGGGAUAAGCUUGGGAAACUGGGUCUAAUACCGAAUAUGACCACUUCUUGGAUGUUGUGGUGGAAAGCUUUUGCGGUGUGGGAUGAGCCUGCGGCCUAUCAGCUUGUGGGUGGGGUAAUGGCCUACCAAGGUGGCGACGGGUAUCCGGCCUGAGAGGGUGUACGGACACAUUGGGACUGAGAGACGGCCCAGACUCCUACGGGAGGCAGCAGUGGGGAAUAUUGCACAAUGGGCGCAAGCCUGAUGCAGCGACGCCGCGUGGGGGAUGAAGGCCUUCGGGUUGUAAACUCCUUUCGCUAUCGACAAAGCCACUUGUGGUGACGGUAGGUAGAUAAGAAGCACCGGCUAACUACGUGCCAGCAGCCGCCGUAA
This 486-nucleotide ribosomal RNA is filed under the name uncultured bacterium. RNAcentral's name for it is "partial 16S ribosomal RNA". It matches the Rfam family "Bacterial small subunit ribosomal RNA", at positions 28 to 523 of the family's 1533-position model. The record is from RNAcentral.